Molecule: long non-coding RNA, 244 nt
Organism: Labrus mixtus (cuckoo wrasse)
Lineage: Eukaryota; Metazoa; Chordata; Actinopteri; Labriformes; Labridae
Exons: 2
Source: RefSeq, a predicted model, not a curated record
UCUGUUUGCUCAACAGAGCAUUUGCACUGAGACAAAAUGAAAAUCUGAAGUCAUUGUUUGUUCAAAAACAGGAACAAACACAAACUCACCUUCUUGAAUGGAUGGUUCUUCUUGAAUGGAUGGUUCUUCUUGAAUGGAUGCAGCAUUAGUCAGGGCCAUCGUGGCACAGACAAGUAGCAACCCGGUCAGCAGCUUCAUGGCUGAGUUGAUGCAGAUACUUAAAGUGAUGAAUGGAUUAGGAUGU